GUGGUAAUGCCGGAUGCUCCGACUCCUCGCAUGGGGUGUCGGGAAAGAUUUCAUCGGUAUGGGAUGGGGUCGCGUCCUAUCAGGUAGUCGGCGGGGUAACGGCCCACCGAGCCUACGACGGGUAGCCGGCCUGAGAGGGCGACCGGCCACAUUGGGACUGAGAUACGGCCCAGACUCCUACGGGAGGCAGCAGUGGGGAAUAUUGCACAAUGGGCGCAAGCCUGAUGCAGCGACGCCGCGUGCGGGAUGACGGCCUUCGGGUUGUAAACCGCUUUUGAUCGGGAGCAAGCCUUCGGGUGAGUGUACCUUUCGAAUAAGCACCGGCUAACUACGUGCCAGCAGCCGCGGUAAUACGUAGGGUGCAAGCGUUAUCCGGAAUUAUUGGGCGUAAAGGGCUCGUAGGCGGUUCGUCGCGUCCGGUGUGAAAGUCCAUCGCUUAACGGUGGAUCUGCGCCGGGUACGGGCGGGCUGGAGUGCGGUAGGGGAGACUGGAAUUCCCGGUGUAACGGUGGAAUGUGUAGAUAUCGGAAAGAACACCA
RNAcentral lists this ribosomal RNA (539 nucleotides) under Bifidobacterium pseudocatenulatum. Its description in RNAcentral is "bacterial SSU rRNA". It matches the Rfam family "Bacterial small subunit ribosomal RNA", at positions 160 to 711 of the family's 1533-position model. The record is from RNAcentral. Lineage: Bacteria; Bacillati; Actinomycetota; Actinomycetes; Bifidobacteriales; Bifidobacteriaceae.